GAUGAAGAACGUAGCGAAAUGCGAUAAGUAAUGUGAAUUGCAGAAUUCAGUGAAUCAUCGAAUCUUUGAACGCACAUUGCGCCCGCCAGUAUUCUGGCGGGCGUGCCUGUCUGAGCGUCAUUUCAACCCUCAUGCCCCUAGGGCGUGGUGUUGGGGAUCGGCCAAAGCCCGCGAGGGACGGCCGGCCCCUAAAUCUAGUGGCGGACCCGUCGUGGCCUCCUCUGCGAAGUAGUGAUAUUCCGCAUCGGAGAGCGAUGAGCCCCUGCCGUUAAACCCCCAACUUUCCAAGGUUGACCUCAGAUCAGGUAGGAAUACCCGCUGAACUUAAGCAUAUCAAUAAGCGGAGGA
RNAcentral lists this unclassified non-coding RNA (348 nucleotides) under soil metagenome. Its description in RNAcentral is "partial contains 5.8S ribosomal RNA, internal transcribed spacer 2, and large subunit ribosomal RNA". The stretch from base 1 to 120 matches the Rfam family "5.8S ribosomal RNA", at positions 35 to 154 of the family's 154-position model. The record is from RNAcentral.